Molecule: ribosomal RNA, 700 nt
Filed under: uncultured archaeon
Lineage: Archaea
Description: bacterial SSU rRNA
Rfam family: Archaeal small subunit ribosomal RNA
Source: RNAcentral
GGAUAACCUACCCUUAGGACUGGGAUAACCCUGGGAAACUGGGGAUAAUACUAGAUAGGCAAUUUUUCCUGGAAUGGUUUUUUGUUUAAAUGUUUUUUCGCCUAAGGAUGGGUCUGCGGCCGAUUAGGUAGUUGGUUAGGUAACGGCUUACCAAGCCAUUGAUCGGUACGGGUUGUGAGAGCAAGAGCCCGGAGAUGGAACCUGAGACAAGGUUCCAGGCCCUACGGGGUGCAGCAGGCGCGAAACCUCCGCAAUGUGAGAAAUCGCGACGGGGGGAUCCCAAGUGCCAUUCUUAACGGGAUGGCUUUUCAUUAGUGUAAAGAGCUUUUGGAAUAAGGGCUGGGCAAGACCGGUGCCAGCCGCCGCGGUAACACCGGCAGCUCUAGUGGUAGCAGUUUUUAUUGGGCCUAAAGCGUCCGUAGCCGGUUUAAUAAGUCUCUGGUGAAAUCCUGUAGCUUAACUGUGGGAAUUGCUGGAGAUACUAUUAGACUUGAGACCGGGAGAGGUUAGAGGUACUCCCAGGGUAGAGGUGAAAUCCUGUAAUCCUGGGAGGACCGCCUGUUGCGAAGGCGUCUAACUGGAACGGUUCUGACGGUGAGGGACGAAAGUUAGGGGCGCGAACCGGAUUAGAUACCCGGGUAGUCCUAACUGUAAACGAUGCGGACUUGGUGUUGGGGUGGCUUUGAGCUGCUCCAGUGCC